This 259-nucleotide ribosomal RNA is filed under the name Ceuthomantis smaragdinus. RNAcentral's name for it is "partial 16S ribosomal RNA". The stretch from base 1 to 135 matches the Rfam family "Bacterial large subunit ribosomal RNA", at positions 2509 to 2643 of the family's 2925-position model. Lineage: Eukaryota; Metazoa; Chordata; Amphibia; Anura; Craugastoridae. The record is from RNAcentral.
CAAGUGGGCUUACGACCUCGAUGUUGGAUCAAGGUAUCCUGGUGGUGCAGCCGCUACUAAAGGUUCGUUUGUUCAACGAUUAAAACCCUACGUGAUCUGAGUUCAGACCGGAGUAAUCCAGGUCAGUUUCUAUCUAUAAUUUAGAAUUUUCUAGUACGAAAGGACCGAAAUUUCACGACCAAUGAACAUCUAAGUCGUCCAGCAAUUAAUGAAUAUACACUUAAUUAAUGUAAACACCUAUUAAUCUUAAGAUUAAAGA